CUACGGGUGGCAGCAGUGAGGAAUAUUGGUCAAUGGGCGAGAGUCUGAACCAGCCAAGUCGCGUGAAGGAUGAAGGAUCUAUGGUUUGUAAACUUCUUUUAUAUGGGAAUAAAGUGAGGAACGUGUUCCUUUUUGUAUGUACCAUAUGAAUAAGCAUCGGCUAACUCCGUGCCAGCAGCCGCGGUAAUACGGAGGAUGCGAGCGUUAUCCGGAUUUAUUGGGUUUAAAGGGUGCGUAGGUGGUUAAUUAAGUCAGCGGUGAAAGUUUGUGGCUCAACCAUAAAAUUGCCGUUGAAACUGGUUGACUUGAGUAUAUUAGAGGUAGGCGGAAUGCGUGGUGUAGCGGUGAAAUGCAUAGAUAUCACGCAGAACGCCGAUUGCGAAGGCAGCUUACUAAACUAUAACUGACACUGAAGCACGAAAGCGUGGGGAUCAAACAGGAUUAGAUACCCUUGUAGUC
Molecule: ribosomal RNA, 459 nt
Filed under: uncultured bacterium
Lineage: Bacteria
Description: partial 16S ribosomal RNA
Rfam family: Bacterial small subunit ribosomal RNA
Source: RNAcentral